This 2866-nucleotide long non-coding RNA is filed under the name Homo sapiens (human). RNAcentral's name for it is "HSALNT0244527". Lineage: Eukaryota; Metazoa; Chordata; Mammalia; Primates; Hominidae. The record is from RNAcentral.
ACUUCAGGUCAUGUUUCUGUUGAUUUAACAAAUGACAUAGAAACUCUUAUUUUUCAAAUACAUUUUCCCUCCUGGGUCUCUAGCUCUUUAAGAAUUAACUGUUUUAAAUGAUCUAGUCUUCAUACUUGCAGACAGAGACUUAGCUCUAAUAAUAUGAUUAAUUAGUUUCUCUAUCAGAUAAUAACAUGAAAAAUAUUAGAAUCAGGAAAUAAACUCCAAAGACUAAUCAUUUAAAGAUAUAAUAAGAUAUAUACUAUAUAUAAUAAUCCUGUCAUUAGAUGGACCUCUCAUUUUAAAACAUAAUAAAAUGUGUAGUUUAAAAACCUAAAAUCAGCCCUAUGAAACGUGUUAGAAGCUUGGAAGUUGCCACAAGUCAAAGUGAAACUGCCUUUGCAAAAAAUCAUAAGUGAGGAAAUUAUGUCGGUGAAACAGACCUAACUGACCCCUUCUUCCUUCUAACCUUGAAACUGUGUUUGUUCAUUCCGGGGUGUAGGCCAAACUAGCCUUGGGAAGGAAUUUAUAGUUUAAACUCUGAAAUAAAAUUGAUAACAGUCCUUUCCUGAAAAACCCUUUCUUGCCUGGGGACCAGUCUGCCUUUGUAGGACUAAUAAAUUAGCUACAAGAUUAGAAAUUACGGUUUAGGGGCCAUGCAGCCUCUGACUGCAAGAGUCUGAACCUUCCCAAAAUCGCUCCUGGGAAUAACAUCACUAUGGUAAAACCUAAGAUCAGUGUUUAAGAUAUUUACAGACCCUGCGUUCUGAUAUAGCACAUGACAUCACUCAGAUGACGCCACUCAGACUGAUAAUACAGCUCAGCCAGUUCUGCGAUCCCACCCAGGAAUGAAUGUAAGCCAGCAAGAACUCACUUCGACCCCCUAUGAUUUUACCUUCAACCCAACCAAUUAGCACUCCUCACUUUCCAAGCCCAUACCCGACAAACUAUCCUUAAAAACUCUGAUCUGGGAGACUGAUUUGAGUAAUAAUAAAACUCCGAUCUCCCACACAGCUGACUCUGCUUGAAUUACUCUCUCUCCAUUGCAAUUCCCCUGUCUGGAUAAGCUGGCCCUGUCUAGGCAGCAGGCAAGGUGAACACUUGAUUACAAAAGGAUGAAGAAACUGAAGAAUCAACAACUCUUAGAUCGAUCAGAGAAGCGAGGGCACAGGGCAAACCACUGCCUCCAAAACUGGGUAAGUCAAGAGUCCUACCCACUAUAAACCUAAAUACCAUGGUAAGCUAUUACAGCAUUGGGAACAGAUGGUGAAGUUUUCCAUAAAAGAGAAAGGGAAACAGACCUGUCUGAAGCAAGAAAGCCUGUGUGGAUGAAUAUUGCUUCCAGGAGUCACAUAAUUACAUCUAAAAUCAUAGAAUGUUAGAGCUGGAGGAAUCUUUAGAGUUUGCCCAAGGUCCUUCACCAGCAUUUUACAGAAGAUUCUUCGAUUUAACUGCUCUUAAUUACAUCCCGUUGCACUGGCCCCAUCAAGUUGCUUUAAACAGCCCUUCUAGUCAACAGAGCUGCAGAGAAAAACCUUGAGCUGUCACACUUCAUUUGUGAGAACACUCCAGAGCUUCCUCCAGCUGCUGAUUCCAAACCAGCUUCACACUCCUUCUGAAUCCAAGGCAAAUAAACAAACUAUGCAAAGAAAUCAAACAUGACUUCUUCUUGGUCCUAUAAGAAGAUUGUUCAUGCUAUGCUUGUUAGAAGAGUUACAUGUAUACCUAUGAUCUUCGAAGACUAAAGAAAAUAUCAAGGAAACGUAUUUCAAUAAUGAUAUGGUCAAGACAUAGAGUUUCUUAUAUUAAUAAUACAAAGUUCACUUUCUGAAAAAAUGCACAUAUUGUUUAAGAUCGUCACAUAGUUUAUAUAUUUUAAUCGCUCCAUAAUUACGGAAUUAUUUUAAAUAAUAGCAAUAAUUAUAAUUGUAGUAUUUAAUGUCAAUAUUUCUACAAAUUAUAUUUAAGUAAAUAAGUAUAUUGUGAAAGGAGAGGGAUUCAGGAUCAGGGGUAUGUUCAAAAAUCUAUUUGUUUUUGUCAUUGUUGAAUAAAAAUCUCCCAUCUCAAAAUCUUUGUAAAAGGAUAUCCAUGGAAAAAAGAACCUAUUACUUUAUUCUCCAGUCAAAAUUAAAACUGGUUCACAAUGGCCACAUCUUCUAUUUAUACAUAAAACACAGCUUUUAACAUAGACUAAUUUUUGUCUGUUAAAAAUGAAAUUGAGAUUCAGUAAAGAUGGAUUCAAAUUCAAUACGUUAAAUCUAUUGUUUUAAAUAUACCAGGUCAUGUGUGCUCUCUCUUUUCCCUCCAACCCAUUUCACUCCCCUUCUUUCUCCUUUUGAACUGCUGACCCGAGUUAGUAGCCAAACAUAAUAAUACAGUGUUUGAUUCUCUGGAAACCCAUAAAAUUACAAACCAGCAACCACUAGGAUGUUGGCAGAAUUUCUGUGGACAGCAACCAGCAUGGUACUUUUUUUCUUUUUGAAAUGAAGCAGUACAUUGCAAUUGUUGAUACAGUACCAAGGAAGGGAAUAACGUCCACCAUAUGUCGCCCCCACCACCUAACUCUUUUGACUACUUGAGGUUGGGAGAGAGAAUUCAUCUAUUUAAAACAUGAAUGCCUUCUCUUUUAGCCUUUACUAUUUAAAGAUGCCUUUUUUCAUUUUUUUUAUUUUUAUUAAGCAGCAGUGGAGUUUUAUACUACUAUACUAAGUGCGACAGAAGAUAAACAUAUAAAUAAAACAUACCACUACAUGCCUUCAAGAAAAACAAAAUCUAAUAAAAUCUAAAAUCUAAUGGGAACUUCAAGUUUUACUGGAAAUUAGAGACUCUUUCUUCUCACUGCAACAGGAAUAUUUGAUUAGUCGUACAGCUGCAC